This 464-nucleotide ribosomal RNA is filed under the name Vreelandella stevensii. RNAcentral's name for it is "partial 16S ribosomal RNA". It matches the Rfam family "Bacterial small subunit ribosomal RNA", at positions 338 to 794 of the family's 1533-position model. Lineage: Bacteria; Pseudomonadati; Pseudomonadota; Gammaproteobacteria; Oceanospirillales; Halomonadaceae. The record is from RNAcentral.
CCUACGGGUGUGCUGCAGUGGGGAAUAUUGGACAAUGGGCGAAAGCCUGAUCCAGCCAUGCCGCGUGUGUGAAGAAGGCCUUCGGGUUGUAAAGCACUUUCAGUGGGGAAGAAAGCCUUGGGGCUAAUACCCUCGAGGAAGGACAUCACCCACAGAAGAAGCACCGGCUAACUCCGUGCCAGCAGCCGCGGUAAUACGGAGGGUGCGAGCGUUAAUCGGAAUUACUGGGCGUAAAGCGCGCGUAGGCGGUCUGAUAAGCCGGUUGUGAAAGCCCCGGGCUCAACCUGGGAACGGCAUCCGGAACUGUCAGGCUAGAGUGCAGGAGAGGAAGGUAGAAUUCCCGGUGUAGCGGUGAAAUGCGUAGAGAUCGGGAGGAAUACCAGUGGCGAAGGCGGCCUUCUGGACUGACACUGACGCUGAGGUGCGAAAGCGUGGGUAGCAAACAGGAUUAGAUACCCGAUAGU